AGUUGCCAUCUCUCCUGGCCGAGCAUGCCCGAUGUCAGGUGCUGUCACCGCUCCAGGCAUGCCAAAGAACAGAGGAGAGCAGGUAUCCUUUGAGCAGCCUCUGGAGUAGAAUCAGGAUUUGAGGUACCCGGAGGAGGUUUGCAGCCAAAGUUUGGAAACGGCAGCACCGAAGCAAACACGGAGAACGUCCCGACGUCCACGUACAACCGACGAUAGAUUUUGUCCGCUCGUCUUCCAAAAGCUAAGUGUCGCGGCCGGUAGUUGGGAGAAGGGGAAAAACCUUUACUAUCACAGGGGGCAAUUUGAUGUCAGUUUAGCGCAGAGGUCUGUAGCGGGACGGGCUCUCUGGAAGCAAAGGGAGAGGGUUUCUCCUCAGCCUCACCACAGCCUCUGCCGGGCAGGGCAGUUCCGACCCAUCUCCACAUUGUCGUAAACUUUGCGUCGUCAGCCUUCUUCAACUCGACAUCGUCACGGAUCUUUCGCCCGAGGAGUUCGCCUUCAGGUCCGGAGCUACGGCCACGGUCAACCGGCGGUCUCCGCUUCCUUCUCUAGGCCCACCGAGCCUCUCGAGCGUCCUCUUAACCGCUUCGGCGCUAACUUCGUUUAACGAGUUACAUUUCAUCAUUACAUCCUAUCGUCAUACGGCUUUCUUUCCUUUUGCAUCAUCAGCCCCCGGCUCAUCUUGCGCUAGCAAUCUCGGGUCCAUAAGGUGAAAGCGCCAGGCAGUUUCCACUUGUCUCUCCGUUACAUCAUCCGUGUCUAUGUUACGUCAUCCAUGUCCGUGUUACGUAGUCUGUCUCCACCGUCUUCCAUGUCGUAGGCCUUCGUUCCAUCCCAGCUCUUUACGGGCACUAUUUCUUGCCAUAUCGGCCGUAUUUUACACACAUUCCUUCACUUAUUCCGGCAUCUUUAAAUCUUUACUCUUUGAGACAGGAAGGAUUACACAAGAUGUCCUCAUCCAUCUUCCUUCUCGCUACUGGCUUUGGUAGCGCCUUUUCCUCCACGCCAUUCUCUUGGACUUUUAGAGGGAGUGUCUUACACCCUCCUCACGUGACCGCAGUAGUUCUCUAGGUUCCAUCUUCUCAAAGGGUAUAGGGCUCAAGAAUUAAUCUUUCAGAGAGUUAUGUCAAGUCCUGGCUUAUACCUUAUCUACCUGUGUUGGCUUAUACUCUGUGUACUUAUACUGUAUCUACCUGCGUUGGCUUAUAUUGUAUGUACUCUAUAUUGUCUGUACCUAUGUUGGCUUAUAGUGUAUGUACUUAUAUUGUCAGUACCUAUGUUGGCUUAUAUUGUCUGUAAUUAUGUUGGCUUAUAGUGUCUGUACCUUUAGUGUCUGUACCUAUGUUGGCUUAUAGUGUCUGUACCUAUGUUGGCUGUCCCUAUGUUGGCUUAUAGUGUCUGUACCUAUGUUGGCUGUACCUAUGUUGGCUUAUAGUGUCUGUACCUAUGUUGGCUUAUAGUGUCUGUACCUAUGUUGGCUUAUAGUGUCUGUACCUAUGUUGGCUUAUAGUGUCUGUACCUAUGUUGGCUUAUAGUGUCUGUACCUAUGUUGGCUUAUAGUGUCUGU
Molecule: long non-coding RNA, 1567 nt
Organism: Haemorhous mexicanus (house finch)
Lineage: Eukaryota; Metazoa; Chordata; Aves; Passeriformes; Fringillidae
Exons: 4
Source: RefSeq, a predicted model, not a curated record